Molecule: long non-coding RNA, 1681 nt
Organism: Helicoverpa armigera (cotton bollworm)
Lineage: Eukaryota; Metazoa; Arthropoda; Insecta; Lepidoptera; Noctuidae
Exons: 3
Source: RefSeq, a predicted model, not a curated record
CUUACAUGUAUUUCAUUGAUUGAAUAAAAAGAAACGCGACAAGUAGUUCUUCUAUGUAAUGUCAAACUAGGAGGGCAAGUUUUCAAUUCAAAAAAAUAAUUAAACGAUUAGCGACCUAAGCAUAAGAUACAGUACUUAUCAUUAUGCAAGACAAAAAUCUAAAUAAAUUACAAGGACAGAAGAAUGAUGGCAUGGUAAAAUUAAGGAGAGCACUAAAGUUGCCACAAAAUGCCCCAUUUAAGGCAGCACUUAGAAAAUUUAAAUCAGCUGCAAAUGCUAUCACAGAGUUACAAAACAAAGAGGGGACACAUAAGUUGAGUUUCCGAAUAGUUAAAGGUAGAAAGAUAAUAAAUAAUAAACCUCAACACUGCAGAAAAUUGCAUACCAUCAGUAGAAUUUCCUUACAUUCAGCAAUAAAUGAGCAUUUAUAUCUUCAAUUAAAAAGAAAAGUAAGAAAAAUGACAUCAAAGAAGAAGAUAUGCAUCUUACAAUUUGAGAACAUUAGUCUUACUACCCAUUUAAGAAGAUCAGUAAGACAUAAAAAUAUUUAUCAUCAAGCUCUGGUAUUUACAGUGAGAGGAGUGAAAACAGACUACAUACAACCAAUUUCAUAUAUAUUCUGUUCAAGUACUACACCAGUCAUAGAUUUAUCAACUCAAAUAAAGCUUAUAAUAUCAAAGUUGCAAGCUAUAGGGCUUACCGUGAUAGCAACAGUAUGUAACUGCAACAAUUUGAAUGUUUGCACAAUUGAUUGGCUUAUCAGGGAUACUAUGAAACAAUAUUUGAGACAAGGAAAGGUAUUAGAAAAAAAAAUAUUCAAAGUUAACGGAGAAGAAAUAAUACCUCUGUACAAUCCUAGACAUCUUAUGAAAGUUUUACGUAAUAAUUUGAUGGAUCAUAAUUUAAGAUAUGAAUUAGAAGGUGAAGUAAGAGUUGGUAAAUGGGAGCACGUAGUUGCUCUGUACAAUCAAGAGGCUGGCAGCCAGUAUAAAUUGUUACCACUACUGACAGAAAAACAUGUGUAUCCCAAUAGGGUUUCUAGAAGUAGUAUGGAUUCAGCCAUAGAAGUAGUAAAUUGCGAAGUAGGAGCAGUUAUGGGAUUUAUAAUGAAUAUUCAGGAAAUUCCGUCGGAUUUCGAAGAUACAGUCAGAUUGUUUUUUUUUUUCGGCACUUUGUUCGACUCACUCGAUAUGACCUAUAUAAAAUUCAACACCAGAUCCAGGAAGCCUCGAAUAGGCCUUAUAACCCCUAAAUCAACGAGAAAAGAAAUCUGGGCAGAAUCGAAGAGCAUUUUAAAAACAAUGGAAUUUUGCAGUAACGGUGAAUCCCGUGUUCUUUCAAUAAGCAGUUGGUUGCAGACCGUUGAAAAUAUGGAAUAUCUUGUGGAAUUGUUAUUGACGGAGUAUAAGGUGUCAGUGGAACGCUGGAAAAAGUUUAAUCCCUUUGCUACUCAGCCUAAGGUGCUUAAAAAGUUUUCAAAGCGUUACAUUCACAUUUUGGGUCUCAUCACUUCACUGAUUAAUAAAGGUGCGUUAUAAACGCCAGCUGCCCACUGCACCAAAACGGUUUCACGUAAAUAUAACACAAACCAGUAGUGCAGCUGCGGCCGAAUUCAUGAAGUCGCGGUAUGUGCGGUCGGCAGUUGCAGUCGGCAGCUAGCAUUCAAAACGAACCUUUAAAA